This 253-nucleotide ribosomal RNA is filed under the name uncultured bacterium. RNAcentral describes it as "partial 16S ribosomal RNA". It matches the Rfam family "Bacterial small subunit ribosomal RNA", at positions 524 to 776 of the family's 1533-position model. The record is from RNAcentral.
UACAUGGGGUGCAAACGUUGCUCGGAAUCAUUGGGCGUAAAGGGCGCGUAGGCGGCUUGGUCAGUCCCGUGUGAAAUCCCUCGGCUCAACUGAGGAACUGCACGGGAAACUGCCUGGCUUGAGUUCGGGAGAGGGAAGCGGAAUUCCGGGUGUAGCGGUGAAAUGCGUAGAUAUCCGGAGGAACACCGGUGGCGAAGGCGGCUUCCUGGACCGACACUGACGCUGAGGCGCGAAAGCUAGGGGAGCAAACGGG